Molecule: non-coding RNA, 375 nt
Organism: Cinara cedri
Lineage: Eukaryota; Metazoa; Arthropoda; Insecta; Hemiptera; Aphididae
Source: the annotation of a GenBank genome assembly
CAUAAUAUAAAAAUCAUAACUUUUAUUUUAAAAUUUUUUUCACUUACACAUUAAGAAUGAUUGAGAAAUUAAUAUUUUUGAAGGUUUUAGAUCAUGACAAAAAUAAAUCUUUAAAAGGUACUAGUUUGUUAUAACCUCACCAUUAUUAUUGAAUUACUGUGAUAAUAAUAGUAUAAAAUUGAAUAUUAAAUAACCUAUACAUUCAUUAUUUACUCAUAAAGCACAGGAAAAACUUACUAGGUUUAAUUUAGUUGUUUUAUAAAAAAUGUCAAAGACAAAAAUGACUGAACUGAUAAUUUUUUUAAGUGUUGCAGUUUAUAUUUUAAUUUAUCAGUGUUUAAAAAAUAAUUAUUAAGAUUUAUUCACCCAAAUACC